Callithrix jacchus (white-tufted-ear marmoset) is the source of this 116-nucleotide small nuclear RNA. Its record names the gene U5. It matches the Rfam family "U5 spliceosomal RNA". Rfam says of the family: U5 RNA is a component of both types of known spliceosome. The precise function of this molecule is unknown, though it is known that the 5' loop is required for splice site selection and p220 binding, and that both the 3' stem-loop and the Sm site are important for Sm protein binding and cap methylation. The record is from Ensembl. Lineage: Eukaryota; Metazoa; Chordata; Mammalia; Primates; Cebidae.
AUACUCCAAUUUCUCUGUAAAUUUUAUAAAUCUUUUGCUUUUUACUAAACAUUUCCAUGGAGAGGAACAAUUCUGAGUCUUAGUCCAAUUUUUUGAAGCCCUGUUUCUGUAGGACU